Long non-coding RNA from Octopus sinensis (East Asian common octopus), 412 nucleotides. RefSeq lists it as uncharacterized. The record is from RefSeq and is a predicted model, not a curated record. NCBI's taxonomy places the organism in Eukaryota, Metazoa, Mollusca, Cephalopoda, Octopoda, Octopodidae. The transcript has 2 exons.
UUCACCUUUUCUCAUAUAACUUGAUAUAUCAUAAUUUCUUAUCUUACCUGUAGCUGGGUAAGGUACAUAACUCUGCUUGCCUCAGUCCUGUUGGCCGACAACAGAAACCAUUUGUACUUAAAGGAAAGAUGUACAUUUUCCAAAUUUAUGCAGAAAUAACAGAUAUGCAUGAAUGUAAGCUGUCAUUGCUGUCAUCACCAUUUCUCCAUUAUUUCAACAAGGGUGACAGAAAAGGGAACAUUACUGGAAGGGUGGCCAUUGGAAGUGGGUAAAUGUAAUGAAAUUGGUGUUAUACUUGGAAUAGGCAGAGGCUCCAGAGAAGGGGUCCACCAAAUAAGGGUCAGUCAAAGAACCCUAAUUCUAGCCAUGCAAAGGUUACAUUGGGAAAUGCUGCCUUAGAUAUACUAUGCCA